Molecule: ribosomal RNA, 782 nt
Filed under: Salmonella enterica subsp. enterica
Lineage: Bacteria; Pseudomonadati; Pseudomonadota; Gammaproteobacteria; Enterobacterales; Enterobacteriaceae
Also listed under: 1 other name
Description: bacterial LSU rRNA
Rfam family: Bacterial large subunit ribosomal RNA
Source: RNAcentral
GGGUUGUGAGGUUAAGCGACUAAGCGUACACGGUGGAUGCCCUGGCAGUCAGAGGCGAUGAAGGACGUGCUAAUCUGCGAUAAGCGCCGGUAAGGUGAUAUGAACCGUUAUAACCGGCGAUUUCCGAAUGGGGAAACCCAGUGUGACUCGUCACACUAUCAUUAACUGAAUCCAUAGGUUAAUGAGGCGAACCGGGGGAACUGAAACAUCUAAGUACCCCGAGGAAAAGAAAUCAACCGAGAUUCCCCCAGUAGCGGCGAGCGAACGGGGAGGAGCCCAGAGCCUGAAUCAGCAUGUGUGUUAGUGGAAGCGUCUGGAAAGGCGCGCGAUACAGGGUGACAGCCCCGUACACAAAAGCGCAUGUGCUGUGAGCUCGAUGAGUAGGGCGGGACACGUGGUAUCCUGUCUGAAUAUGGGGGGACCAUCCUCCAAGGCUAAAUACUCCUGACUGACCGAUAGUGAACCAGUACCGUGAGGGAAAGGCGAAAAGAACCCCGGCGAGGGGAGUGAAAAAGAACCUGAAACCGUGUACGUACAAGCAGUGGGAGCACCCUUUUGGGUGUGACUGCGUACCUUUUGUAUAAUGGGUCAGCGACUUAUAUUCUGUAGCAAGGUUAACCGAAUAGGGGAGCCGGAGGGAAACCGAGUCUUAAUUGGGCGUUAAGUUGCAGGGUAUAGACCCGAAACCCGGUGAUCUAGCCAUGGGCAGGUUGAAGGUUGGGUAACACUAACUGGAGGACCGAACCGACUAAUGUUGAAAAAUUAGCGGAUGACCUGUGGCU